AACGCUGGCGGCAUGCCUAACACAUGCAAGUCGAACGAGACUUCGGUCUAGUGGCGGACGGGUGAGUAACGCGUAGGAACCUACCAAGUAGUGGGGGAUAACAGCUGGAAACGGCUGCUAAUACCGUAUACGCCCUCCGGGGGAAAGAUUUAUCGCUAUUGGAUAAGCCCGCGUCGAAUUAGCUUGUUGGUGAGGUAAUGGCUCACCAAGGCGACGAUUCGUAGCUGGUCUGAGAGGACGACCAGCAUCACUGGGACUGAGACACGGCCCAGACUCC
RNAcentral lists this ribosomal RNA (277 nucleotides) under unidentified marine bacterioplankton. RNAcentral's name for it is "partial 16S ribosomal RNA". It matches the Rfam family "Bacterial small subunit ribosomal RNA", at positions 32 to 339 of the family's 1533-position model. The record is from RNAcentral.